AUCUACGGCCAUACCACCCUGAACGCACGGGAUCUCUGAUCUCGGAAGCUAAGCAGGGUUUGACCUUGUUAGUAUUUGGAUGGGAGACCACCUGGGAAUACCGGGUGCCGUAGAUU
Cercocebus atys (sooty mangabey) is the source of this 116-nucleotide ribosomal RNA. The record is from Ensembl. Lineage: Eukaryota; Metazoa; Chordata; Mammalia; Primates; Cercopithecidae.